Molecule: unclassified non-coding RNA, 337 nt
Filed under: soil metagenome
Description: partial contains 5.8S ribosomal RNA, internal transcribed spacer 2, and large subunit ribosomal RNA
Rfam family: 5.8S ribosomal RNA (bases 1-120)
Source: RNAcentral
GAUGAAGAACGUAGCGAAAUGCGAUAAGUAAUGUGAAUUGCAGAAUUCCGUGAAUCAUCGAAUCUUUGAACGCACAUUGCGCCCCCUGGCAUUCCGGGGGGCAUGCCUGUCCGAGCGUCACUUCUGCCCUCAAGCACGGCUUGUGUGUUGGGUGUGGUCCCCCCGGGGACCUGCCCGAAAGGCAGCGGCGACGUCCGUCUGGUCCUCGAGCGUAUGGGGCUCUGUCACUCGCUCGGGAAGGACCUGCGGGGGUUGGUCACCACUAUAUUUUACCACGGUUGACCUCGGAUCAGGUAGGAGUUACCCGCUGAACUUAAGCAUAUCAAUAAGCGGAGGA